GCCUGACCUUAACAAGACAAUUAAACUACUAAUUGUUCGCCAAACUACUAUGAGUGAAAACUUAAAAUUUAAAAGACUUGACGGUACUUCAUAACAUCCUAGAGGAGCCUGUCUAAUAACCGAUAACCCACGAUUAACCCAACCCACUCUGGCCCAACAGUCUAUAUACCGCCGUCGCCAGCUUACCUUAUGAAAGAAACAAAGUAAGCCCAAGAACACCCCACUAGCACGACAGGUCGAGGUGUAACUAAUGAGGGGGAACAAGAUGGGCUACAUUUUCUUAACCAGAAAAAACGAACAGACUAUGAAACUAGAAACUGAAGGUGGAUUUAGCAGUAAGAUAGGAACAUACUACCUAACUGAAACCAACGCAAUGAAGUGCGUACACACCGCCCGUCAUCCCUGCAAAAUAUACAACACCAUACAUAAAUAAACGUCCUUAAACCAAGCAGGGCAAGUCGUAACAUGGUAAGCGUACUGGAAAGUGUGCUUAGAAA
RNAcentral lists this ribosomal RNA (497 nucleotides) under Hydrophis cyanocinctus (Asian annulated sea snake). RNAcentral's name for it is "partial 12S ribosomal RNA". It matches the Rfam family "Bacterial small subunit ribosomal RNA", at positions 832 to 1522 of the family's 1533-position model. The record is from RNAcentral. Lineage: Eukaryota; Metazoa; Chordata; Lepidosauria; Squamata; Elapidae.